GACGAACGCUGGCGGCGUGCUUAACACAUGCAAGUCGAACGGAAAGGCCUGCUUUCCCUUGUGGAUUGCGGGUACUCGAGUGGCGAACGGGUGAGUAACACGUGAGUGAUCUGCCCCCAACUUGGGUAUAAGCCUGGGAAACUGGGUCUAAUUCCCGAUAGGCCUGCAGGGUGGUGCCUGUGGUGGAAAACGAUUUUCUAGUGGUUGGGGAUGAGCUCGCGGCCUAUCAGCUUGUUGGUGGGGUAAUGGCCUACCAAGGCGGCGACGGGUAGCCGGCCUGAGAGGGUGGACGGCCACAUUGGGACUGAGAUACGGCCCAGACUCCUACGGGAGGAAGCAGUGGGGAAUAUUGCACAAUGGGCGGAAGCCUGAUGCAGCGACGCCGCGUGGGGGAUGACGGCCUUCGGGUUGUAAACUCCUUUCGACCGCGAGGAAGCCACCUGGUUGGAAGGGUGGUGACGGUAGUGGUAGAAGAAGCACCGGCUAACUACGUG
RNAcentral lists this ribosomal RNA (494 nucleotides) under uncultured bacterium. RNAcentral describes it as "partial 16S ribosomal RNA". It matches the Rfam family "Bacterial small subunit ribosomal RNA", at positions 28 to 507 of the family's 1533-position model. The record is from RNAcentral.